GCCUUUCAUCUUUCCAGAUACUUCUCUCUGUGUUCUUUUACCUGGGUGUGAAGCAGUAGCGGAUCUUGCAUAAAACCUACAGACUGGAGUAGCUGUAAUAAGGUAGUUGAUUCCACUGAAUGCCUCGGAGAUGACUGUGCCUGUCGCAGUCCAGGAGUCUGUUCAUCAAGCAGCGCCUGCACCGGCAAUAAUGGUUACUGCUUCAGUGUGCAGAGCAGCCACUUAUGCAGUGGUACCGUGUUCUCUGAAGAAUGCAGUGGGACAAAUUGUUCCUGCUGCAUUGAAGACCUUAUACUGUGGUUCUUCAGACAGCAGUUGAAAAAGGAGGGGUAAUUCUUAGUGAGGGUAUCCUUAGGCCCUGUCCACACUGUCGAGCAGAGCCCCACUGCCUGAUGUUUGUAUUUCUCUCGCUUCUGAAGCAAUGUUACCAGAUGAUCGUAUCCUUUCAGGCUCAUACUGUUAGGCAGAGCCCGACGGUCUCUGCCCUUACCAGGCAAGGUCCGUCUGUAGCAGUGUUACUAAAGUGAGGAAAUUCGUCUGCUAACGAUGAAGAUUUGAGUUAGGGACAAUGAGACGAGGAUAUGAGUACCUAAUUCCCCCUCAAACUGAUAAUAUGAGGAAAUAUUUCCUCAACGCUUAUAGCUGUAUCAAGGCAUUUCUACAGAUUUUAUUUCAUAUAUAUGUAUACACACAAACUUAUCUACAGUACAUUAUAUAUACUUACAUUCAUACAUACACAUGCAUACAUAUGUAAGCAUUCUAUAUUUAAGAUUUUACUGAGUGUACUUUGAUGUUUGUAUGUUCUUCAUUCCUGAAAGCACUUGUUACUGGAGAUAAAUUUCGUAUUAACUUAGUGGAUAUUGAAUAAUGAAUAAUUAAAACGCAUAAAAGAUGUUUAUAGAAAAAUUGUUCCGUUCUUAACAUUCAUUACGUUUUAUGCAUUUUUUCGUAUUAGAGCUACUAGCAAAAACUAAAUAAAUAAAAUAAAAUAAAAAAAUGGUAGACAGCCUACCCAACUCGGUUUUAUGGAAAAAUUUAUAUACCUUUUUAUUUGGAAACAUAUAUGCACAUGUUUUUGAUGUAGGUACCGUACUGUGAAUGUGAUAUGUACAUAUUCUUUUCGUUUAUGGAUACAUGUCUCUGUAAUGGGGAACAAAACUGUACGAACAGGUUUAUAGAAUAACAUGAGUAAAGAACUUUACAUGCAUAGCAUUCAUUCAUUUGCUUGUUUCUCUCUCUCUCUCUCUCUCUCUCUCUCUCUCUCUCUCUCUCACAAUCAUCAUGGUAUCUGAAGCAGUAAAAAAGGCUGGAGGUUGCACCAGGUUUACGCCGACUAAAUCUAUGAUUGAAUGCUUGAAAUCAUGGUGAUGAUAUAAAUGAGGAAGAGGUGGUGGAGGAGUAGGACAAUUAAUGAAGAGUAAUGAUGACUUCUUUAAAUGGUAUUGGAUAUGUAAAUAAAAUGUCUGUAUAGCUAAUACAGUAAUUAUGUAAAUAAAA
Macrobrachium nipponense is the source of this 1497-nucleotide long non-coding RNA. RefSeq lists it as uncharacterized. The record is from RefSeq and is a predicted model, not a curated record. NCBI's taxonomy places the organism in Eukaryota, Metazoa, Arthropoda, Malacostraca, Decapoda, Palaemonidae. The transcript is spliced from 3 exons.